Molecule: ribosomal RNA, 375 nt
Filed under: uncultured bacterium
Lineage: Bacteria
Description: bacterial SSU rRNA
Rfam family: Bacterial small subunit ribosomal RNA
Source: RNAcentral
UAAGACGAACCGUCCAAACGUUAUUCGGAAUCACUGGGCUUACAGAGUUCGUAGGCGGUCCGGUAAGUUAGGUGUGAAAUCCCUCGGCUCAACCGAGGAACUGCGCUUGAUACUGCCGGACUCGAGGGAGAUAGAGGAAAGCGGAACUGAUGGUGGAGCGGUGAAAUGCGUUGAUAUCAUCAGGAACACCGGUGGCGAAGGCGGCUUUCUGGGUCUCUUCUGACGCUGAGGAACGAAAGCUAGGGUAGCGAACGGGAUUAGAUACCCCGGUAGUCCUAGCCGUAAACGAUGAGCACUAGGUCGAGGGGCUCCACAGCUUCUCGGCCGUAGCGAAAGUGUUAAGUGCUCCGCCUGGGGAGUAUGGUCGCAAGGCUG